This 1864-nucleotide long non-coding RNA is filed under the name Glycine max (soybean). RNAcentral describes it as "long non-coding RNA (GMAX_LNC002530)". Lineage: Eukaryota; Viridiplantae; Streptophyta; Magnoliopsida; Fabales; Fabaceae. The record is from RNAcentral.
GGCACUUAACAACUCUUUUAUUCUUUAAUAAUAACGCCGUGUGCUAGCUUUUGUGGCGUCUUUGUUUGUGAGCUUGAACAUACAGUGUGUUUAAGUGUUGACACUCCGAAAAACACCCGAAGCAAAAAAACUCUUAUUUUUCAGUUCCUCACAUCCCAAGCCUUUAUAAAUAAGUUUUAGGGUUGUUUUGGGGUACACAAGGAACGUGUUUCGCUUGAUCAUUUACUAGCAUUUUGGGGUGAACAUUUUGUUUUCAGGUAUCUCUUUAUCUAUAUAUGCUUUGUUCUUGUGUAAUAUUGUAAUUAUGUAUAAUUGCUGAUCCUUUGUUUUCAUUGCACCUUGGUUGAUUUCUUCUAUCUUUUGGUUUGUAUACUGAGAUGUAGAUUAAUAACAAAGGCACAUGGUGCAUGCUUGGUCCUUGAGUUGGUAUUUGAUCGUUAAUUGGUUUGAUUUUAGUGGGAUUUAACUCUCUUUAUUUGAAUGUUCGUGCAAGCAUUAGGAUUUGGUAGUAGCAUGUAUAUUGUAUAUUUUUUUUUAUCUCGUGGGAAACUGACACAUGCAUGUAUAUUUUAUAUUUUCAAAUACACUCUUUAUUUUGGACUGAAAUUUAUUAAAAAAAAUAAUUAGAGUGUCAUGUCUUUAAUUUUUUAACCAAAGGGUGUCAUUUCUUAUUUAUCCAGUUUUACUCAUGAUUUUAUAAAUUUGAUUUAAUAGUAGAGAGAGUAUUACAAUGAUUAAUUAAUUGUGAUAUUGGAUCAGCUGGUUUGGUAUACCUUAAUCUCGUUUUUCAUUAUGUUUUUCCUUCUUUCGAGUAUUCCCUUUCGAGUCUUUUAAAAAUGUUUUUUUGAAAUAAAAAUAUGUAUUCUCAUCGAUCAAUCACAAGACUUUUUUUAAAAAUUUUUUUUAAUUUUAUAAUAAUUAUUAAAAUUCAUAUGUAACAUUUUUUUAUUAAUUGAUGAAGUACAGUGCUGAAAAAUAAACUUUUGUCAAUAUCAUAUCUAUAUUUGAGCCACUUGGUGUUUUCGCCUUUUCGGUGCCUAAUGUGAACAUGACAUUUAAGGGAUGCCAUAUUUUUGAAUUGUUUAUUAUUAUUAUUAUUAUUAUAAUAACUUUCGUAAGGCACCUAAAGAGUGAAAUACUGAAAUUUGUUCAUGGACUUGUAUAAGGAAAAAAAUUAAGAAAAUAAAAUAAAUUAGGCUUUUUUUUAUAUAUUUUUUCCUACAUGUCUCUUUCCUUGAAAGUAACUCUAUACUAAGUCGAUAUUAAAUUUGGACACCUUUUCUAAUAGAAAUUCGAAUCUUGAUUUAUCAUAUUGUUUUUUUCCAUUAGAUCCGAUCCGUUGGUUUUUUUUCUUUCUUUUCUUUAUAAGCAUUUACAGAGAAGUUUAUGAAAAAUUACCAUAAUUUUCUAAUAAAGUUUAGGAUAAGAAAAUCAAACAUGAUUGUGACAAGGUUCUACUAUAUUUUUACCUCUAUUUGGUACAGUAGUAAUGGUUAUGGAGGUCCAUGCCUAUUACCUACUGAACUUUUCUGUAUGCCAAUAAAACCGGUUGUUGCUUCGAUAUUUAUAGGCACUAGACAAAGGGUAGCGGUGCAGUUUUCAACUUUCCGUGCUACUCGAUACUGAUAAUAUUCUUGACUUAGUAAUUUCUAAGCGGGAUUCAGUGGAGAGAAACAAUUUUCUCCUCAGUGGAACAAGAAUCAACAUCAACAUUUGUAUCUCCAUCAUCUAGUUUUGGAUAAUAUUAAAUAUUACGCAAAAUAUUUUCAUAUGCUUUGUUGCACCCGACAAAAGUAAAAGGAGUUCAUUCUGUGGGAAAGGCGCACUCUUCAACUCAAUUUUAUAUUAUUUCAUAGUUUUUUUU